Molecule: ribosomal RNA, 967 nt
Filed under: Trigonopterus sp. 824 AR-2022a
Lineage: Eukaryota; Metazoa; Arthropoda; Insecta; Coleoptera; Curculionidae
Description: SSU rRNA
Rfam family: Eukaryotic small subunit ribosomal RNA
Source: RNAcentral
GUCAUAUGCUUGUCUCAAAGAUUAAGCCAUGCAUGUCUCAGUACAAGCCAAAUUAAGGUGAAACCGCGAAAGGCUCAUUAAAUCAGUUAUGGUUCCUUAGAUCGUACCCACAAUUACUUGGAUAACUGUGGUAAUUCUAGAGCUAAUACAUGCAAACAGAGCUCCGACCGGAGACGGAAGGAGCGCUUUUAUUAGAUCAAAACCAAUCGGUGGCGGGUUCGCUCGUCAUCGUACAACUUGGUGACUCUGAAUAACUUUACGCUGAUCGCACGGUCAUCGCACCGGCGACGCAUCUUUCAAAUGUCUGCCUUAUCAACUGUCGAUGGUAGGUUCUGCGCCUACCAUGGUUGUAACGGGUAACGGGGAAUCAGGGUUCGAUUCCGGAGAGGGAGCCUGAGAAACGGCUACCACAUCCAAGGAAGGCAGCAGGCGCGCAAAUUACCCACUCCCGGCACGGGGAGGUAGUGACGAAAAAUAACGAUACGGGACUCAUCCGAGGCCCCGUAAUCGGAAUGAGUACACUCUAAACCCUUUAACGAGGAUCAAUUGGAGGGCAAGUCUGGUGCCAGCAGCCGCGGUAAUUCCAGCUCCAAUAGCGUAUAUUAAAGUUGUUGCGGUUAAAAAGCUCGUAGUCGAAUUUGUGUCUCGCGCCGCCGGUUCAUCGUCCGCGGUGUUAACUGGCGAGUCGCGAGACGUCCUGCCGGUGGGCUUAGCUCGCGAGGGCGGCCCAACUCAAUCCUGCCGCGGUGCUCUUCAUUGAGUGUCGAGGUGGGCCGGCACGUUUACUUUGAACAAAUUAGAGUGCUUAAAGCAGGCUAAAACUUCGCCUGAAUACUGUGUGCAUGGAAUAAUAGAAUAUGACCUCGGUUCUAUUUUGUCGGUUUUCGGAACCCCGAGGUAAUGAUUAAUAGGAACGGAUGGGGGCAUUCGUAUUGCGACGUUAGAGGUGAAAUUCUUGGAUCGUCGC